ACUUUACCAUGCGGGCAACCGUGAUAAGGAAACCCCGAGUGCCAGCACAGGCUGGCUGUCCGCCAGUUUAAAUAACUGGUGAAGAAAGGGCCGGGCAAGACCGGUGCCAGCCGCCGCGGUAACACCGGCGGCCCGAGUGGUAAUCGUGAUUAUUGGGUCUAAAGGGUCCGUAGCCGGUUUGGUCAGUCCUCCGGGAAAUCUGAUAGCUCAACUAUUAGGCUUUCGGGGGAUACUGCCAGACUUGGAACC
This 249-nucleotide ribosomal RNA is filed under the name uncultured archaeon. RNAcentral describes it as "partial 16S ribosomal RNA". It matches the Rfam family "Archaeal small subunit ribosomal RNA", at positions 347 to 600 of the family's 1478-position model. The record is from RNAcentral.